This is a long non-coding RNA of Triticum dicoccoides, 1569 nucleotides long. RefSeq lists it as uncharacterized. The record is from RefSeq and is a predicted model, not a curated record. The transcript is spliced from 2 exons. NCBI's taxonomy places the organism in Eukaryota, Viridiplantae, Streptophyta, Magnoliopsida, Poales, Poaceae.
UCUAUACUUCCAGACUGGUUUGUGUCCCGUGUCCCGAGCCGCCGCUGCACGAUUGCCUCUUCUUCCUCGCACCCCGCCUCUUCCGGCUCGCACGUAGCACCUCCCCUACCUCGCAGCUUCUCCCUGCUCCGCCUCACCGCUGUUCAAUUCGACGAACCCCUCGACCCUGGCCGGACGCGAUGGGCAGGUCGCCGGCAGCCCCAACCCCGACCCCCAGGUCGCCGACAGCAUCAACCACGACCCCCUGGUCGCCGGCUGUCCCAAUCCCAACCCCCAAGGAGGCGGAUGCGUCAAUCCCGGCGCUCAGGGUGCCGGAUGUGUCGUCGACAGCAGAUCUGAGGAGCACAAGGGUGAACUCUUGCGUGCCAUAAAAUUUGAGAAGGCUAAUGGCCCGGAUCUUGAGGAGCACAAGGCUGCUAGUGAGCUCCAUGUGGAACCACCAAAGUGCAAGAAAAGGAAGCGAAGUAGGCAGAGUAGCGGCAAGCUUCAUGCAUCUCAAAGACUGAUGGACAGUGAGCUAGCCGUCUACUUUUAAAAUGUCCUGAUGUCCAUAUAUCAAUAUCCACUGCCCACAGAAAUCAAGUAAAAAUGACUAAAUGGUUUUUACGUACGAGAUCGCCCAGUGUUCUAUAAUAAUGAGAUCGCCCAGCCAAAAAUGCCCAUAUAAAAAAGACUGAUGGACAGUGAGCUAGCUGUCUGCUAUUUAAAUAAAGAUCUCAGAAUCUGCAAGCUGACAUUUUUUCUCUUAUAUGGGUUCUGCUAGCUGUCUGCUAUUUAAAUAAAGAUCUCAAAAUCUGCAAGCUGACAUUUUUUCUCUUAUAUGAUCUCAGAAAAAGUUGUCCAAGGACAUGUUCUAUGAAGCUACAAAGUUCAGUGUUGCAGUAUUGCAGACUGAAAAUUUGUUCUAUGAAGCCUGACUUGGCGGCCAACAUAUCCUCGUCGCUUGUCUACUUGAUCAAUAGUUGUGUGUUCUCGCCGUCGUCGAGACUCUGCAACUUUAUAUAUCUGUGGGCAGAGUUAACCAACAGAUGGAACACACUUUAAUUGUUGUCUUGGUUUGCAGAGAAGGCCAAUUUGGCUCCCGGGCUCAGCUGCACCCGUGCCGACGAAAAAAAUCAAAACAAAUACUAGAAAAAUUCAAAAAAUUCCAACUUUUUUUGUGUGGUAGACAAUUUGAUGCGUGAGGUUCGCUGCAAAAUUCAACUCGUUUGGACAUUUGAGCAUCUGUAGAAAAAAAAGACAAAAUUGGGGUCCGUAAAAAAGUUUACUGUUCACGAACUGUUUUGACCCGAUUUGUCUUUUUUGCUGAGAGCUGCUCAAAUGUCCAAAUGAGUUGAAAUUUGCAGAGGUCCUCACGCAACAAAUUAUCUAGUACACAAUUUUUUUUGGAUUUUUUUGAUUUUUUUUAGUAUUUAUUUUGAAUUUUUUCUGAGCGGGAGCAUCUGAGCCUGGGCUCAGACGCGGAUUUUCGUGGUUUGCACUCUUAUUAUCCUCUCAUAAAUCGAUUCAUCCGUAUAUGUAACUGAAACUGUAGUGGAUUCGAUCUAUUAAUCCCUAUAUGUAACUGAA